CCAGUAUGUGAUUUAAUCCACAGGUACCUGAUGAACACAUUAUUGUCAGAUUGGUUACAGUUGCUAAACGCUAUCUGAAGGUCAUUCCUAGUCAUUUAUACGUGUCAGGGUAAAAGUGAAGCGAUUUGAACUAUAAAAAUACCUUUGAAAUAAUUUAUCAAUGUAUUAGAUAAGCUCAGUUUCAGAAUGAUAAACAAAAACUGUUAGACCAAAUAACGUGGCUAAUUAACAGUGGUACGAUUUCUAGCCCGAGGGUUUAAAAUGGAGUUAAAGUAAGUGUCUUUAAACUGAACUCAAAGAAUGCAAAAGCGGCAAGUUCAGACAAGGCAAGAACAGGACCUUUAGUCCAUUUUAAGCCAUAAAUAUUACACAAAAUAUGCCUCUAACUGAAACUGAGAGGUAUAAAAACAUAUUUCACUCUUCGUAAAGAACUUUGUGAGGAAAUAUAACUCUGUGAUUGUAUAGACACUUUCCUCAUGACACUUUGACAGUCACAAACAGUAGAUUGCGCUGCAGUUUGUAAACAUUUUACGUUGCAUAAACUGCUCCUUGAUUUUCAAAUGUAGUAUAAUACUGUCUACUAAAACUCCUUUUUGUUUCAACUAAGUACUCUCACAUAUAUUAGUUUAUAAUAAUGUUUGUUAUUAUUUUUAAAGUGUUCUCCAUUCAAGGAAAAGAAGUAAAUUCCUAUGUCAGAUGGUUGAAGACUAGCUAUUAGCCAGAGAGGUCUAGAUGGUAAAAUCCAUCUUCUAGCCUCAGAUAAGCUCCAUGAACACAGAGGAAUGCCAGGUGUCACACAGCUUUCCUUCACUCGAAUUCAUUCUUGACUAGAGCCUGUAUAUGCCUGUUCCAGGGGCAUUUAAACUCUUAAAGGAUUUCUUCUGAUCUUUACUAAAUACAUUAAGGAGAACGCCAACCAGUGCCCUUUUGUGUACUGGGACAUGUAGUCAUGUGAUUAAAACAGGGAACAUGAACUCUGACUUUAAAAUGUAUUGUAGAUAUAAAUGCUCUCAGCUAGAAAAGGUUUUCCACAUCCACAGUCAUGAUGGGAGCCUUUCAUUCCUCAGAAAUAAUCCCUUUUCAGGUCAUCAAAAAAGAGUACAACUGCCACAGCUCAUGAGGCAGUAUCUUCAUGAGCCCAGAGCACAUACAAAUCCUAAGGGAACUACCGUAGUACAGCGCUCAUUCUUGGCACCGGAACAAAUGAAACAUAUUCUAUCCUGCACACACCUGCCAAAGCAGGCCACUUUCCUCUUCUGGGAGAUUUAAAAACCUCCCCAAAAUGUUAUUACUCCCAUCCCCAAUACACAGAAAAAGGGGGAAAGGCUGUUUCCAGUGCUCCACCUUUAAACAACUGUAAAUGUCAGUACUCACAGUGGCAUAUUACAAAGUAAUAGACCGCGCACUUGAGGGCAAACCACAUAUUGAGCUAAUGAAGAGCUCACUGUGAUUAGGAUUCGAUCAAACAUAACAGCAGAACAUAAGGAAAUUUUAUCUGAAUUCCGUAAUGAAUAUACAGGCUGUACUAACAUUAAAAAAGCAUGGCAGCCUAUCCCAAACCAGCAAGAACAGUUGUGUGCAUACAGUGGGUCUUUGUGUGUUUGAACUCCCACCACAUAAGGGCAAACUCGAUAUGCAUGCUAACGUCCUAUAAUUAUCAAAUUAAAAAAAUGCUAAAAGAUGCC
RNAcentral lists this long non-coding RNA (1685 nucleotides) under Homo sapiens (human). Its description in RNAcentral is "HSALNT0223580". The record is from RNAcentral. Lineage: Eukaryota; Metazoa; Chordata; Mammalia; Primates; Hominidae.